UGAGUAAUGUCUGGGAAACUGCCUGAUGGAGGGGGAUAACUACUGGAAACGGUAGCUAAUACCGCAUAACGUCGCAAGACCAAAGAGGGGGACCUUCGGGCCUCUUGCCAUCAGAUGUGCCCAGAUGGGAUUAGCUAGUAAGGUGGGGUAAUGCUCCCCCCUAGGCGACGAUCCCUAGCUGGUCUGAGAGGAUGACCAGCCACACUGGAACUGAGACACGGUCCAGACUCCUACGGGAGGCAGCAGUGGGGAAUAUUGCACAAUGGGCGCAAGCCUGAUGCAGCCAUGCCGCGUGUGUGAAGAAGGCCUUCGGGUUGUAAAGCACUUUCAGCGAGGAGGAAGGUGGUGAACUUAAUACGUUCAUCAAUUGACGUUACUCGCAGAAGAAGCACCGGCUAACUCCGUGCCAGCAGCCGCGGUAAUACGGAGGGUGCAAGCGUUAAUCGGAAUUACUGGGCGUAAAGCGCACGCAGGCGGUUUGUUAAGUCAGAUGUGAAAUCCCCGGG
RNAcentral lists this ribosomal RNA (506 nucleotides) under uncultured bacterium. RNAcentral's name for it is "bacterial SSU rRNA". It matches the Rfam family "Bacterial small subunit ribosomal RNA", at positions 107 to 607 of the family's 1533-position model. The record is from RNAcentral.